GGAUCGGCUGCUGCGGACGCCGCACAGCGGGUAUCACUACGACGGGACCCCCAGGCCCUUCUUCGAAGGCUGGUACUUCAAGGUGUCCAUCCCCGAAUGCAGGCAGAGCUUCUGCUUCAUGUACUCCGUCGAGAACCCGCUGUUCCGUGACGGGAUGAGCGCGCUCGACCGGGCAGUACACGGCCCGCGGUUUACCGGGGUGGGAGCGCAGAUUCUUGGUGCGGACGACAAGUACAUGUGCCAGUUCUCUGAAAAAUCAAACAACUUCUGAGGAGGCUGAGGCAGCCAUUCGAUCCAAAAACCGAGCGAUUCACCAUGCUCCCGACCUAGGGUACCGCCACCCCGCCGCCGCUCCCUCUCGCAGUAAAGGCCGGGGGAGGCGAGUUGGCGUUCCUCUACGCGGACUGCGGCGGCGCUGCCUUGGUCCCCGAAGAGUGGUUUCCGGCUACCCACGGCGGCCGAGAUCGCCGCGUCGUUGUGGCCCGAUCUCCUCCACGGUGACGGCGUCGCAGGGGGCGGAUACAGGUCGCCGCGUCGUUGUGGAUCGAUCUCCUCCACGGCGACGACGUCACAAAAGGCGGAUACGAGAGAUGUUGUGGCGAGCGACCGAGAUAUCGCAGCCACCAAAAUCACUGCGACCACCGUCCAUGGCAGAGGAUGAGCAGGAUGGGGCCUGGGCGCACGAGAUCGCUCCGACCCUGCUGCCAAGAUCCCUCCGAGACCACGUCGACCGGAUCCGGUACUCACAUCACCCUGAUCUGUCCGAAUUUACAAUGCCUGCUUGUAGGUUUGUGUGUGAUCUUUACUGUGUCAUUUUUGCACUUUCGCAUCACGGAAUUACGGCCGUACCAGUGUCAGGUUUCCUGUCAUAUUUCCAAUAUAUGUUUCCAGUGACUUUAUCAGCAGUAUCUGUGUGGCAUGCUCUAGGCGAACUAUUAGGACUUUAGAAAAAUCUUUGUAAUUGAUUUGAUUUUCUCUACGAUCCAAAAAUUUGGUCUUGAUUAUGUAUGUUUUGUGUCACCAGAAUACUGCAGACAGCAACAAACCGUAAAAUAUUGAGUUGUGUUUACAGCCAAUUUUGCCUGCCACAGCCUGCAAGUGUGCAAUCCUUGCGAUGCCUUCAUUCUAUACGCAAUUCACAUAACGGCUUGAUUUAGGAGCGGCACGCCUAUCAAGUUAGUUUAUAUGUAUCUUUUAACCAAAAAAAUCAACCAAGCAAACCAUAUGAAUGUUUCGCUUUUUUAUCUUAAGAAUAAAAUCCCAAAUGUAAGUUGGUCUAUAAUGUUCUAUCAUUGCUUUUUGAAAUAUGAUUUUGUAUACAGAAAUGAUAUGUCGGCAUACUUUUCUUGAUAAUUUCUAUCAGAUAUGUAGCUAUCUUGUUAGCUUUUCUUAAAUCAAAUUUGCUUUGUGAUAAUAUGAGAGAGUGUCAUUUGUUAUUAUUGCAACAAGUACUGAAACUAUUAGAUUAACUUAUACAUAUCCGGAAGACUUUUCCCACUGCUAAAGAAAUACCCAUCUGAAUUGCAUGUUAAAUGUUCAUGGUAAUUCCCAAGUAUUGAUGUCUUGGAUGCUUUAGCUGUUCUUAUUUCACAUGUAAUAGGACGAGGUAGUUCAAAUUAAUGCAUGUAACAGGUCAAAGAGACUGAUCUGUUUGUAUGCUUGUAAAACGGUGACAGAACUUGCAUAAUAUGGCCAUUCACCAUAUUUCAUUGUAGCAUGAGCUGAUUAGCGAUGACAAGUGCUGCGAGUAAAUGGUUGACCAGUCUCGCUUAGUUUGGCAGAGUUGUUUCUCUUUCUAGCCAUCUCAGGCACCAUAUUUCAGUUCUUAAGAUGCAAUUCUAAACUGCAGAUAAGCGGCUCAUGAUUAUGUUGAUUCUGAACUGCAGAUCAAAGGCGGGGCUGUGGGCUAAUUUCAUGAUAAUGAUUAGAUCCAAUUGCGGUUUCUGAUCCUCCUAAUGUUGGGCUAAGAUAGUGGUUCAAUCUUCCGAACUCAUUCCUCAUAACUCCAAGAUUAAUCUUGAUUGAUGAGUGAACUGUAUGUUUGAGAUGAGGCUGUAUUAGAUUCUAUGGAUCCAUAUUUGCAUCAAAAAACUAUACACCUUAUAUCUAGAAAGGAGGGGGUAUAUUAAUAUUCCAGGAUACAUUCACUGACUACAAGUGCAUACAUGAAUGUUUGAAUCCUUUUCGUGAAAAAACGGAUUUGCGUCAAAGAUGUAGCUGAUCCUCUUAUCGCUGGUGAAUGUUUACUGAUGCAUAAAGUUUGGUAGAAGAUUAGAAAAAGCCAAUGUACAUGACCAAGACACUUCUUGAUUGAAGAAGAUAGCUUGCAAAGAUUACGACUAAGGUUCUAGCUAGGAGGUGACAAUUAGUACAAUUAUUGGAUCAUCUUUUAUGAUGUUGUACUGUGCUUAGCUAUAUGUGUGUAGUACUGAAGUGGAAAGAGUCAAGUGAAACGAAGAUUGCUUGUAAUGCAUGAAUAUUUGUGAAUGUACCAGUUAGAUCGACUUUGUACUAUACAUUGGUCUUCUUAGUUGAGUACAAUGGAAUGCUUGGAAUUGUGUAGAGAAAAUAUUACAUGAUAUAUGUAUUAAACGAUAAUGAAAUAUGUAUUAAUA
This is a long non-coding RNA of Lolium rigidum, 2615 nucleotides long. RefSeq lists it as uncharacterized. Lineage: Eukaryota; Viridiplantae; Streptophyta; Magnoliopsida; Poales; Poaceae. The transcript has 2 exons. The record is from RefSeq and is a predicted model, not a curated record.